CAGCGUACGCGGGCGUGGCGCGGCGCUGAUGCCGACAACGUAUGGGGCGGCGGCGGAGCGCCGUGCCGGGGUGU
RNAcentral lists this small nucleolar RNA (74 nucleotides) under Leishmania donovani. Lineage: Eukaryota; Euglenozoa; Kinetoplastea; Trypanosomatida; Trypanosomatidae. The record is from RNAcentral.